RNAcentral lists this long non-coding RNA (575 nucleotides) under Pan troglodytes (chimpanzee). RNAcentral describes it as "long non-coding RNA NONPTRT005562". The record is from RNAcentral. Lineage: Eukaryota; Metazoa; Chordata; Mammalia; Primates; Hominidae.
GAGCCGAUACCCGACAGUUGUUUCCUUCACUGGGCAAACAGCAUGGUCACGGCUGUCACCGCGUGCCUCGGCGUUGUUCCCACGGAAGGCGGAAUGCAUUUUCUGCGAGGCGCGUCAUGGCUUUCAUCUCCGAGGAGCUCCGGCAGGGUCAGAAGCGUUGCUCUCGUUCACCGGCGCCGACUGCCAAGGCUGAAACUGGUGAUGAGGUCAUGGGCACCCGGAGGCAGCAGCCUGAGAAACACCCUAGAGACCUGUGACAUCUCGGCCCACACCCCACAUUAGACCUCAAGAUAUAUCCAAAGUCUCUUUCCCGCCCAUCUAGACAGGAAUCUUGAAAAGUUUAUUUUUGGCCAUCAAGAUUGCUGAAAUUCUUGUUGACCGAACGGGUCAAGCUGCCCUGCAUUCCAACGCUGUCCCUCCAACUCAAAGUUGGGCAGAAAAGGGUGUAAACACGUGCAGUCCAUGGUCCAGUUUAAUCAGCCACUACACAAACUUCCCACAAUGUUGACGGCUUUGCUAAACACCAAGGAACAUGAUUUAUCUUAUUUCUGAUCAUCUCUGCAACUGAACAGGAA